RNAcentral lists this non-coding RNA (21 nucleotides) under Arabidopsis thaliana (thale cress). Lineage: Eukaryota; Viridiplantae; Streptophyta; Magnoliopsida; Brassicales; Brassicaceae. The record is from RNAcentral.
CUGCCCUUUGUACACACCGCC